This 253-nucleotide ribosomal RNA is filed under the name uncultured bacterium. RNAcentral's name for it is "partial 16S ribosomal RNA". It matches the Rfam family "Bacterial small subunit ribosomal RNA", at positions 524 to 776 of the family's 1533-position model. The record is from RNAcentral.
UACAGAGGGGGUAAGCGUUGUUCGGAAUUACUGGGCGUAAAGGGCGCGUAGGCGGCCUGUUAAGUCGAACGUGAAAUCCCCGGGCUCAACCCGGGAACUGCGUCCGAUACUGGCAGGCUUGAAUUCGGGAGAGGGAUGUGGAAUUCCGGGUGUAGCGGUGGAAUGCGUAGAGAUCCGGAAGAACACCGGUGGCGAAGGCGGCCUGCUGGGCUAUGGCUGACACUGAGGCGCGACAGCGUGGGGAGCAAACAGG